UCUAGAACUCGAGAUAUGGGCUGAACACUGAACAAUGUCUGGGCUGCAGGAUAGAUUCUGACUUCUCCGUUGUUGCUAUAAUUUGAACUUGAAAACGACCUUUUUGAAUCUUGAAAUCUUCAUGAAAGUUUUAGGCCUAUGUCUUAGCUUUCCAUC
Non-coding RNA from Populus trichocarpa (black cottonwood), 156 nucleotides. The record is from Rfam. Lineage: Eukaryota; Viridiplantae; Streptophyta; Magnoliopsida; Malpighiales; Salicaceae.